Molecule: ribosomal RNA, 417 nt
Filed under: Escherichia coli
Lineage: Bacteria; Pseudomonadati; Pseudomonadota; Gammaproteobacteria; Enterobacterales; Enterobacteriaceae
Description: partial 23S ribosomal RNA
Rfam family: Bacterial large subunit ribosomal RNA
Source: RNAcentral
UGGGGGUGAAAGGCCAAUCAAACCGGGAGAUAGCUGGUUCUCCCCGAAAGCUAUUUAGGUAGCGCCUCGUGAAUUCAUCUCCGGGGGUAGAGCACUGUUUCGGCAAGGGGGUCAUCCCGACUUACCAACCCGAUGCAAACUGCGAAUACCGGAGAAUGUUAUCACGGGAGACACACGGCGGGUGCUAACGUCCGUCGUGAAGAGGGAAACAACCCAGACCGCCAGCUAAGGUCCCAAAGUCAUGGUUAAGUGGGAAACGAUGUGGGAAGGCCCAGACAGCCAGGAUGUUGGCUUAGAAGCAGCCAUCAUUUAAAGAAAGCGUAAUAGCUCACUGGUCGAGUCGGCCUGCGCGGAAGAUGUAACGGGGCUAAACCAUGCACCGAAGCUGCGGCAGCGACGCUGAUGCGUUGUUGGGUA